This 248-nucleotide ribosomal RNA is filed under the name uncultured bacterium. RNAcentral's name for it is "partial 16S ribosomal RNA". It matches the Rfam family "Bacterial small subunit ribosomal RNA", at positions 523 to 769 of the family's 1533-position model. The record is from RNAcentral.
AUACGUAGGGUCCAAGCGUUAUCCGGAGUGACUGGGCGUAAAGAGUUGCGUAGGCGGUUAUGUAAGCGAGUGAUGAAAACUAUCGGCUCAACCGAUAGCCUAUUAUUCGAACUGCAUAACUCGAGAGUAUCAGAGGUCGCUGGAAUUCCUAGUGUAGGAGUGAAAUCCGUAGAUAUUAGGAGGAACACCAAUGGCGUAGGCAGGCGACUGGGAUAUUUCUGACGCUAAGGCACGAAAGCGUGGGGAGC